RNAcentral lists this unclassified non-coding RNA (345 nucleotides) under soil metagenome. RNAcentral's name for it is "partial contains 5.8S ribosomal RNA, internal transcribed spacer 2, and large subunit ribosomal RNA". The stretch from base 1 to 120 matches the Rfam family "5.8S ribosomal RNA", at positions 35 to 154 of the family's 154-position model. The record is from RNAcentral.
GAUGAAGAACGCAGCGAAAUGCGAUACGUAAUGUGAAUUGCAGAAUUCAGUGAAUCAUCGAGUCUUUGAACGCACAUUGCGCCCCCUGGUAUUCCGGGGGGCAUGACUGUCCGAGCGUCAUUGCUGCCCUCAAGCACGGCUUGUGUGUUGGGCCUCCGUCCUCCUCCCGGGGGACGGGCCCGAAAGGCAGCGGCGGCACCGCGUCCGGUCCUCGAGCGUAUGGGGCUUCGUCACCCGCUCUUGUAGGCCCGGCCGGCGCUUGCCGACACAUCAAUCUUUUUUCCAGGUUGACCUCGGAUCAGGUAGGGAUACCCGCUGAACUUAAGCAUAUCAAUAAGCGGAGGA